RNAcentral lists this non-coding RNA (21 nucleotides) under Caenorhabditis elegans. The record is from RNAcentral. Lineage: Eukaryota; Metazoa; Nematoda; Chromadorea; Rhabditida; Rhabditidae.
UUUCCAAUUCAAAAAUGUAAA